This 253-nucleotide ribosomal RNA is filed under the name uncultured prokaryote. RNAcentral describes it as "partial 16S ribosomal RNA". It matches the Rfam family "Bacterial small subunit ribosomal RNA", at positions 524 to 776 of the family's 1533-position model. The record is from RNAcentral.
UACAGAGGGUGCAAGCGUUGUUCGGAAUUAUUGGGCGUAAAGGGCGCGUAGGCGGCUUCGCAAGUGGAAGGUGAAAUCCCUCGGCUUAACCGAGGAACUGCCCUCCAAACUGCGUUGCUUGAGGCCGGGAGAGGUGAGUGGAAUUCCCAGUGGAGCGGUGAAAUGCGUAGAUAUUGGAAAGAACACCGAUGGCGAAGGCACUUUACUGGGCUAUUACUAACACUCAGAGACGAAAGCUAGGGUAGCAAAUGGG